Molecule: ribosomal RNA, 497 nt
Filed under: uncultured bacterium
Lineage: Bacteria
Description: partial 16S ribosomal RNA
Rfam family: Bacterial small subunit ribosomal RNA
Source: RNAcentral
GAUGAACGCUGGCGGCGUGCCUAAUACAUGCAAGUCGAGCGAACGGACGAGAAGCUUGCUUCUCUGGUGUUAGCGGCGGACGGGUGAGUAACACGUGGAUAACCUACCUAUAAGACUGGGAUAACUUCGGGAAACCGGAGCUAAUACCGGAUAAUAUUUUGAACCGCAUGGUUCAAGAGUGAAAGACGGUCUUGCUGUCACUUAUAGAUGGAUCCGCGCUGCAUUAGCUAGUUGGUAAGGUAACGGCUUACCAAGGCAACGAUGCAUAGCCGACCUGAGAGGGUGAUCGGCCACACUGGAACUGAGACACGGUCCAGACUCCGACGGGAGGAAGCAGUACGGAAUCUUCCGGGAUGGGCGAAAGCCUGACGUAGCAACGCCGCGUGAGUGAUGAAGGUCUUCGGAUCGUAAAACUCUGUUAUUAGGGAAGUACAUAUGUGCUAGUAACUGUGAACAUAUUGACGGUACCUAAUCAGAAAGCCACGGCUAACUACGUG